CGCAGCUUUGUGGGAUUCUUGAUUCAAAGAAAAAAGGUCAAGUACCCUGGAUUCCAGAUUCAACCAAACCCUCAAGAAUGUUCAGGGGCUCGCUUCUUCUUUCAGCAGCUGAUAUCUGGAGUCAGCUAUUGCCAUGCAAUGCAAGUUUGCCACCGGGACUUGAAGUUGGAAAACACUUUGUUGGAUGGAAGCCCGGCUCCUCGGUUAAAGAUAUGUGAGGGAGAAUCCUGAAUUGGCUUUGAGGGGUUCUUGUGUUUUGGUGAUGUUGAUGAAGGGGAGUAUGUGUAUUUGAUGAAUGUCCUCAUCUUAUUACUGGCAAUGGGGUUGGAUUCAAACCAGAUAUUUUGGACAUGGAUGUAAUGGAAAAAGUUCUUGAGAUUGGCAGUGAAGAUUCAGUAAAAAUGGCUAGGGAGUUGGCCUUGAAAGAGGAGCUUAUGGUAAAACUCAAAUGAUUUUUAAAUUUCAGUUAUCUAUACCAAUAUGUGUGUGUUGUGAGUUUUUAUACCGUUGAUAUUUACCUUCUCUUAAUGGGCAUUUCUCUAGACCUUGAUCAGACUUCGUCUGAAGUUGUUAUGAGCAUUGUAAUCAGGUUUUUGGGCUGAAAUAUUUAAAGACUCUGUUCCAAUUAUUAGAUCUCCAACUUUCAAGUUCUUCUGCUCUUAAGAAUAAUGUGUGAAUUUCAAAUUCUUUUAAGCUUGAUGUCAACCUUCUGGUUUGUGUAGGUAGGGAUAUUCUCAGGUGCAAAUACAGUUGCAGCACUAAAACUCGCUCAAACGCCCAAGAACAAAGGCAAACUUAUUGUUCUAUCCCUCUCUCUGAGGAUCACAAACCCAACAGAAGUGAUGAGGGGAAAAGAAUUGAAAAUGUUGGCAGCGUCGUAAUGUGGGCAGACUGUUGUUCCUCUUAUUGUUUUGUCAGGCACUUGGAGAGUUGGAGGUAUUCUAGCUAUGUCAUGUGCAUUUGGUAACCGUAUGUUGAAGUAAUUUGUUGUUGCUAAACCUGAUAUCCAG
Pistacia vera is the source of this 1010-nucleotide long non-coding RNA. RefSeq lists it as uncharacterized. The record is from RefSeq and is a predicted model, not a curated record. The transcript is spliced from 7 exons. NCBI's taxonomy places the organism in Eukaryota, Viridiplantae, Streptophyta, Magnoliopsida, Sapindales, Anacardiaceae.